CCCAGUCGUCUCGUCGUGGAUGAGCUCGCCGUCCGUCCCGACGCAAUCAAAUACGUACGUACGUACUGCUGCCUAUAGGAAGCUAAAUGGUAAGCUUGACUUAUACUAGUAUCUCUUAUACUACUGCUGCCGGUGCUGCUGCUGCUGCUGGUUGGGGAUGUCAUCUUGGAGCCCGGCAAUGGCUUCCGGCAAGUGAUCUCUAGGCUCCAAAGGGGAUCCCCACGUCUGUCCGUCUGUCCUUCUGAUGAUAAAACUCAAUGGCUCGACCUCGUCGGAGCGAGGGAAGCCAUUGUCGUCCCACUAAUUGUUCCGCCGGCCGAUCGGUCGGUGUGAUCCUUGGAACUCCGAUGAUCUGUAUCCAUCCAUGUGUUUGCCUCUGGGGCUAAGACAAGAGAGAGAGUGCCUCCGCUCCAGCGUGUACCAUUUGACAUUGGUUGAUGGAGAGGAGCAUAUUAUUUCACCUUCAUCCUCUGUUGCUGCUGCCUGCUUAUCCUUGAGGGAAGAUGUGUCUAACGUUAUGUGUACAGUGAUCGAUCGAUCGAUCAACGGUGAGUCUUUUGUUGCUGUUGAUGUGGUAGUUUCUUUCUUGUGUCAGCUACGGGUUGGGUUGGAUUGGAUGGUGCUCUCUCAGCUCACUCUCGUCCAAUCCGUGCAUGUGAAAAAUACACCUGUCUAUCUAUCUAUCUAUCUAUCUAUCCUGUGUGGUGAUGAUAUAUGCUUCUAGUCCAGUCCAGACCAGUAGUAGUCUAGUCUAGGCUAGCAGUAUAAAUUCUCCUCUAACUUUUUUUGUAUCUUUCUCUCCUUUUCUGGUUGAUGUACUCUGAUCUGAUGAUCCUUAUGUAUACACAUGUUUGGACUUUGGACUGCGAGUGCUGUAACGCGUGUACUGUGCUUGGUUGAUCCAUCCAUUCCGGUUUUUUUUCAUCCACAUGGGUGUCGGUGAAGAAUGUGGUACUGGUAAAAGUAGAUGAUGCCAACAUUUCGAACCAAUUAUGUUGGAUAUGCAAGGUUUUUAUUUCUUUGAUUCUCAAAUACUAAAUGGAGAGUACCACGGUACUCUUGUCGUAGGGCUUUGGUUCGGGGCGAUGAUGAUGGCUGUUUUGUCCAUUGCUCCUGGCGCCACGUGGCGUCGUCACCUGCGUGCCUCCACGCGAAAUUUGGGCAGCUAGCUAAUUCUGUGGCGGGUAUACUUGGGUGGAACGGUGGUCUGUCGGCGACCGGAAAGUGACGUGUUGCGUCCCGUUGCGUGCCCCCGUUGCAACGCGAAUGGACCGGACCGUGUCACUUCCCCCUCCCUUCCUUGUGGUUGUUGCCUUGUAGGAGUAGUAGCUGUUGUGAUCUGAUCACGCUGCUGCUGGGGCUGUGGCUGGUGUGGGUGAAUGUGACAUUAUUCUGCAGUGAGCGCGUGCGUGCAUGCAAGUCAUUCUUGCACGCAGGAGGGCCGUGCGUGCUUUGCCAAUGGCGUGCUGCAGCUACCCAUUUCGGGCGCUCAGUCGUGCGGGAGAGGGCGCCUCGUACGGGAUGGGAAUAGGAUCCUCUCGAGGCAGAGAGGGACAAAUGGCUGGAGCAGUGUCCAAAACAGCACCGCAACAUCUGUGUUGCAUUUUUCUGCUGGGAGUUGCAGCAUUGCCUGGCUGAUGAUGAAAAAAGAGAGGCGUGGCAUCAUCUCCGGGGCGGCGAAGGGCCGAGGGCAAGGAACGGAGGGAGGCUGCUGCUGGCUUUCUCGUGCGCUUUAAAGUCACGGAGCGCAGCGCAGCGGUUGAAAACAUUGACGCUCGCGAGCAAAGGUGGCGCAAGUCUCCUGAAAAAGACAAACGGGUCCUGCUGCGCUGCCACGUGUUCUCAUUUACUGCCGCUCUGCAUUGUAUAUCCGCCCCGGCCACGGCGCGGCGGUGGCAUCCAUCCGCGGCAGCCGGCCGGCCUCGAUCGCGGCGUGCAAAGUCAAGGCUUGGCGCACCACGUCCAACGGACAAAGCGCGGCGUUUUUUGGAGUUCCCCCGGCGGGCGGGCGGGCGGGCGGCCUCGUUCCCUUUCGGCUUCUCCCCCGUCCACUCCAACCACCUUUGCUUCGGGUUUCCUUUCCUUUCCUUCUACUGCUGCUAUACUGGCUGCUACUCCUGUCACUGCCCCGCCGGUCGGUGUCACUCGUCGCUCGCUCGCCCGCCGUGUCCAUCUCUUCCAAUUGUUUCUUCUCGGACGGACGGACCGGCGCCGGUGUGGGGAUUAAAUUGGCAAAAAGAUCUACUAUUAGACAUGGAUGGUAAUUAUUUUCCUCUCUUCUUUUCUGGUGCUUCAUCCAUCUCCAUCCAUGCGCCAGAAAUACCACACCUCAAUUCUGCUCCGCUCACACCUAGGUUAGACAUUGUAUAGAGGUUACGUCAAUCAAUUCAGAAGGAGUGCUAAUAAAUUAUCCAAAUAAUUAUUGUUACUCUUGUGUCUUUCUAGGCGCAUGAUUAACCGGGGCAGAAAGGCCGAGAUAUUAUCCGGGAGGUGCGUGUUGCCGGCUUGGCGGUACCAGGCACGAACAGUGCUAAAACAGUAAUGCCAUGUGUUCCGCUCCGGGCGGUACAAUUAUGCACGUCGGAAGGUCGUACCGAAUCCAAAUAUUUCUGCGAGAAAUAAUCCUGGCCCGUUCGAUUUUUUGGCUGGCUUGCUGGCCGGUACUCGUGGCCUCCGGCUGGCCAUGUGUAAAACGCUCUUUGCUUGGACGAACCUAACACUCCGCCAGGCUCAUUUAUGUGCGUCUGUACGUGGUACGUACUGGAGCCGGCGACGUCUAAUUAAGCGGCUCCGGCGGACAAAUCUUCCCCUUAUCUCCAGACCUGGACAACCGGGAAACCGACGCUCGGAUGAAUAGUGAGCCGUACGAUCUAUCUACCACUUGCUGCCAGUAACAUUCACUCCUACUACUCCCUUCAUUCCACAAUGUAGUGCUUUCUCUAUCCAUGUGUUUCAACUUUGACCGUAAAUUUAACUACCAAGACCGAUUGCGGCGGGAGCAAAUUUUUUUCUUCCGCCCCAGUUGGUCUCGUUGGUUAAAUUUAUGGUCAAAGUUAGACCUCGGAAAGUGCGGGCGCACUAUAUUUUAAAAUGGAGGGAGUACUAGUUAAGAGCGAAUUUUCACUUCCUUUUUGAUAAAAGGGGUCUCUCACUUUCCCCAGACCCACUUGUCCUAGAACGAGGCAGCAGCCCUCACAGGUUCGCCUCUUCGACGAUGCAGCAGCAGUAGGCAUCACAACAUGAGGGUGGGCUGCUUUCUGCUAAAAUCCUUCCCUGAUGCAACAACUUGCCAACAUGCAUCUUCAUCUGUCCAAACCUUGCCCUGGAAGGGCAACUCUAACUGAUUCCCUAAAAGUUUAUGGAGGAUCCAAUGGAGUAAAGUUGGCGGAGGAAAAAUUUACUCCACUAACUGUGGCCGCACAUAGCCGCAUGAACUCUAUAUUUAGUGGAGUAAAAACAAAAUUGUGUAGCUUUUUUUAUCCUAGUCGCAUGAACUUCACACACUAAAUAAUAUAUAUCAUAAAAACAUUCAAUUUAAACAUGCAUAAUAUAACCGCUAUAACUGUUGACGCUCGAUAAUGGCAUGAUCGCAAAGAGUGACUUGAACCUGUAGCAAUAAGUCAAAAUUUUGGUUGUAAGUCAUUAUUGGAUGGCUCUCUUCGAGAAGAUCAAGAUGGAUACAAAGAUAGUCCAAAACGGAGCUCAGAUGCAAGAAGUACGGCAAUUUCAGAAAUGCCCGUGUUGACAUCAGAUUAUGAUAUGUCCUGAAAUGUAAUUAAGAUCACCUAGGAUGGAAAAAAAUUCAACAUGAAAGUUCUUCAUCUCGUCGAAACGGAUGAAGUUGAUAUAUAAAUCGUCUUAAUCCAAGGUCAUUUGCAAAAGUACGAGCCAAAACAGUGCAAUGUUGCAAAAACUAUGGACAUGGCCGGACGUCCAAACCUCCUGUUGUGACCGGACUGUCCGGAAAUUAGGACCAGACUGCCGGUCAGGCUCGUCAAAAUCAUCCAAACCUUCUAUUAUGACCGGACAGUCCGGUCCAGAUCGAAACUGGAGUUUUUUACGAAUCUGAUCAGUAUAAGGGCGAUUCGGCCUUGAAGAUGACCUCGAAUCAAAAAAACAUUCAACAUAAAAGUUGUUUGCCUUGUCGAAAUGGUCAAAUUUCCUUUUGGGCUCAUCUUCAUCCGAGGUUGUUUGUGGCCUGUGCGACCCAAAAACCGAACUGUUGUUUCAGACUUGCCUAAAUCCGAGUUCGGUUAAUUUUGGAAAGAUUUGGAUUUGGAGUCCUUUUCUUGUAGGGAAGUCCAGCCGCCUCAUAAAUAGAUGAGAGGUGAUGGCCGAUUGAAAAACAAUACACAAUCAACAAAAUCACCUACCACUUUUUACCUUUAUUUUUAUCUCUCUCCCUUGUUCUUCUUCUCCCUCAUUCUUCGUUCAUUUUUCUUGUUGCAGGGCGGCGAACCUCGAGGCCCUAUGGGCUAUCGGGUCGACCUAGGGAAGCCCAUAGCCGCCGCGCACCCUGACGGGGUCCCUCCCGGGCGUGUGAGGUUUCGGGUCUACAAAAGCGCCCGCCGGAUUGCUUGUGUAUCGCGCUUCCGGCCGGGUCUCCUUCAACGUGAGCUGCCGUGCAUCACCCCCGGCGUCGAGGGUAUACGGUGACAUGUUCAUGUGCGAACACACUUUUUGGUGACUCCGCUGGGAACGAAGCUUCGAACGGUCUCCGGCCUGUUCUUGCUACGAAGAGAUCGUCAUCAAAUUGCUGCAAUCCACAAAGGUAAUAUGAGUACCCAAUUCUCCUUUGUAGAUGCAAAUAAUCCAUAUGUUGUUGCUAGAUCGCCUAAUGAGCAUAAUGUAUCGGCUAGCCCUAGUUUUAUUAAUCAUGCAUUUAAUUAUGUGCAAGAGCCGAUGCAACAAAAUCUCCAUGCUUCUACCUCAUAUAAUUUUAGCAACAUGCAACAUAUGUAUUCCAAUUCCCAUGCAUCGGCAACCCCACAAACUCAUAUGCCGAUGAACAACAUGAUGAGUUUGGUUAAUCAAGUUGAAAUGCCCCAUGUAGAAACUUUCAAUGUCAUGCAACAUAGUGUUUCACCUUUUUAUUCGUAGGCGACUAAUUUGCAACAUGUUAAUCCAAACAUGCCGACGGAUAGGGGAAUUGGCCAAUUACUCUCAACCGUCAUGUUAGUAAUUUUUCAGCACCAUACGGAACUAUAGAUGAUCAUAAUUCGGCUCCACACCUUCAUGGUUAUAGCCAAAUAAGUGAAAAUUUUGCUGGAGUGCACAUGCCAUCAUCUAAUUUUGCACAUGCCAUAAAAGGGGGUUGUUUCCUGAUUAUGCUGCUGUAGGAUCUAGAAGUAGAUGUGUCUAGAGGGGGGUGAUUAGACACAUAAUUCUCAAGUUGCAAUUUUUAAGCUUUUUCGGUUUAAGUGGAGUUUAGGCACAAUUUCAACACACACAAUACAUAUCAAGCAAGCAUGCAAAGAGUAUAUGAGCAGUGGGAUGUAAAGCAUGCAACUUGCAAGAAUGUAAAGGGAAGGGUUUGGAGAGAUCAAACGCAAUUGGAGACACGGAUGUUUUUCCCGUGGUUCGGAUAGGUGGUGCUAUCCUACAUCCACGUUGAUGGAGACUUCAACCCACGAAGGGUAACGGUUGCGCGAGUCCACACAGGGCUCCACCCAAGGGUAACGGUUGCGCGAGUCCACACAGGGCUCCACCCACGAAGGGUCCACGAAGAAGCAACCACCCACAAAGGGUCCACGAAGAAGCAACCUUGUCUAUCCCACCAUGGCCAUCGCCCACACAGGACUUGCCUCACUAGCGGUAGAUCUUCACGAAGUAGGCGAUCUCCUUGCCCUUACAAACUCCUUGAUUCAACUCCACAAUCUUGUCGGAGGCUCCCAAGUGACACCUAGCCAAUCUAGGAGACACCACUCUCCAAGAAGUAACAAAUGGUGUGUAGGUAAUGAACUCCUUGCUCUUGUGCUUCAAAUGAUAGUCUCCCCAACACUCAACUCUCUCUCAUAGGAUUUGGAUUUGGUGGAAAGAAGAUUUGAGUGGAAAGCAACUUGGGAAAGGCUAGAGAUCAAGAUUCAUAUGGUAGGAAUGGAAUAUCUUGGUCUCAACACAUGAGUAGGUGGUUCUCUCUCAAAACAUAUGAGUUGGAAUGGUGUAUGCGUUCUGAUGGCUCUCUCCUUGAAUGAAGAGGAGGUGGAGGGGUAUAUAUAGCCUCCACACAAAAUCCAACCAUUACACACAGUUUUCCAAUCUCGGUGGGACCGAAUCAAUAAACCCGGUCGGACCGAAAAUGUAAACCUAGUGACCGUUAGAGAUUUUCGGUGGGACUGACAUGCAACUCGGUAGGACCAAUAUGGUUAGGGUUUGGGCAUAACGUAAUCUCGGUGAGACCGAUUACACAAACUCGGUGAGACCGAAUUUGGUAAUUAGCUAAUCAGAGAGUUGGUCAGGCAAACUCGAUGGGACCGAUUUGCUCUUUCGGUGAGACCGAGUGGAACUCGGUGAGACCGAAAAGUUACAAAGGGGAAACACUAAGUUUACAUUGCAAUCUCGGUGGGACCGAUUCGCUCUUUCGGUGAGACCGAAAAGUUACAAAAGGGAAACAGAGAGUUUGCAAUCCCAUCUCGGUGAGACCGAGAUCCCUAUCGGUAGGACCGAAUUGCUAGGGUUUGGCAGUGGCUAAUGACAAGUGAAUCUCGGUGGCGCCGGAUAGGAAGAAUCGGUAGGACCGAGUUUGGCUUAGGGUUUAGGUCAUAUGUGGAUAUGGGAAAGUAGUUGAGGGUUUUGGAGCAUAUCAUUAAGCACAUGAAGCAAGAGGCUCAUUAAGCAACACCUCAUCCCUCCUUGCUAGUAUUGGCUUUUCCUAUGGACUCAAUGUGAUCUUGGAUCACUAAAAUGUAAAAUGAAGAGUCUUGAGCUUGAAGCUUUAGCCAAUCCUUUGUCCUUAGCAUCUUGAAGGAGCUCCCACAACCUUUAGUCCAUGCCACUCCAUUGUUGAACUUAUCUGAAACAUGCUAGAUAGAAAUGUUAGUCCAACAAGAGAUAUGUUGUCAUCAAUUAUCAAAACCACCUAGGGAGCACUUGUUCUUUCAAUCUCCCCCUUUUUGGUAAUUGAUGGCAACAUACAUCAAAGCUUUAGAUAAAGAUAUAAAGAACAACAAGUAAAGCUUUGGAAGGACAUGUAACGAGCAUAGGCUCCCCCUACAUGUAUGCACCCAUGUAAAUAUGAAAUAUAGAGGCAUGUGAGAGCAUAACCAUGACAGAGUAGGCAAUGUGUUACAUGCAUCUUGGCCAUAUGCAUCAGAGCAAAAGAUUAUCAAGGAAAAUACCUUCAUGCUCAUGAGUCCUUCUUGCAAACAGUAUGUACAUAAGCAAGAACUCCUCAUACUCAUGAUUUUGAUGCAUAUACUUACCUUGUGGUCUUGAGUUGGCUUAGGAUGGAAUGGACCUGCACAAACAAGGUUAGAUAACACAGGUACGUCCACUAGCCAGAGCAAACAAAAGAAACCACAAGAAUACCAAGACUGGGAUGACAUGUAGAGAGUGAGUACAAGGUACCACAUUGAAUUCAACAUGUCCCCAAGAAUAAAGAUAUGCAAUGAAUUUGACUAAUUUUUUUUCCUUAGGUGUCUUGCUCCCCCUGAAUCGUACAUGGGAUAUUGGGAGAAGAUAGGAAACAGAAAAUCAGAGCUGAAAGAUAUGAGUAGAACUUAAUUCAAAUGAGUUCAUAUGAACAUGUCUUUCCCCCAAAAAGACAUGUGGCAUCUCUCCUCUUGAACAUCAAGCAUCUGGGAUCCUUGAGUAUUCUCUCCCCCUUGGAGAUUUCUUUCUCCCCCUUAAUAUAUGGGAUCCUUGAGUAUUCUCUCCCCCUUAGUACUUUCUCCUUUGUAGGUGAUAAGCUUUUGAUGUGAUCUCUCUCUCCCUGAUGAUAAGCUUUGAUGUGAUCUCUCUCUUCCCCUUUGACAUCAAUUUCCAAGAAGGUUUUUCCUGGAAUCCGUCGAAUAGGUUUGGUCCUUGAGAUUCAGUACAAAGCAGGGAAUAAAACUGUGAUGCUUGUAGAGGACAAGAUUCAUUGAGUGGAGCUGGAUCAGAAGAAAUAUAGAAUAUGUGGCAAACUGUUUUUCCUGUUGCGAAAUCGGUGGCACCUAGUGGCAUGUUUCGGUAGUACCGAAGGGAUUCGGUUGGACCGAAAAUGGCAAUUCGGUGAAACCGAGUUCAUCACAGAGAAAAACACUUGUCACCUCAGCUCACUAGUCAAGUAAGAUCUCACAAAGAUUUGCAAUGAAUUUGAUGCAGAAAUAUGCAGAACAAGAACCAAAAAAAAGAAAAGAGUGAAAGUUUCUAGAUGAAGUUUUUGUUUUUGUUUUGUUUGAAAAAGAAGGGAACAAAUAUGCAAGGGACAAAUGCAAUAACUCAGAAAAGAACACAAGAGAACUUCAUCUAGAAUUGGGCGGUGACAUAGUCACCUAUGUUAGAGUAUAUUGACUUAGGAGUCAAGUGAGAACACUUGAUCAUAGGUCAUACUCAUCGUUUAAGCUCAAAAUGGGGUUACCAUUUUUCGUUUAAGCAUCUUGAUGUAUUCACAUCUUGUUGAGUUGCUUUGACUCAUGUCUUGGAGUAAAGCUUCUCUAAGAUGGAAUAACAUACCUUGGGUGGUGGUGUGGUUCUUGCUCAUGUAGUUGAACUUGUGUGGGUGCUCAAGGUUGAUGUAGUUCAUCAAGAGUUGGGAGCACCACUUGGAGUUUGAGUUCAUCUACCUACAUGGGUUAGUUCUUGCAAGGAAGAGCACUUGUGUAUCCAAAAAUGACAAUCAUGAAGCUUAACAUAGAAUUUGUCAAAGGAUAUGUUUGAGUGGUUUUGUGCUUCCCUGUCUUCAACCACUAUUGUGUAGAGUCUUGGUGAUGUAGAGAUUGCUCAAUAUAUGAGUGAGUCGCAAUCUCAUGGAAUUAGAUUCAACCAAGCACCUACAUGGGUUAGACAACAUGCAAGGUGCAAAUAUAUCCAAGACAUAAGAUAGUUAUCAUAAGAGAUAUAUCAUGGAUUAGUCAUAAGCUCAUGUCUUGCAUGUAUCCAAUGGAGUUUCUACUCCAAGUUCGAAGCAUCAAUGAUGUUCAAUUCUCCUCUCAACCUGCAAAACACUUUCUCAUCAAGUGGUUUAGUAAAUAUAUCCGCUAAUUGCUUGUCGGUGCGAACAUGCUUAAGAUUGAUGUCACCCUUAGCAACAUGAUCUCGAAUGAAAUGAUGACGAACUUCAAUAUGCUUAGUUCGAGAAUGUUGUACAAGAUUAUGACCAAUUUUGAUAGCACUUUCAUUGUCACAAAGCAGUGGAACAUGUUUCACAUAAAUCCCAUAAUCUUUAAGAGUUUGGGUCAUCCAAAGUAAUUGAGCGCAACAUGAACCAGCGGCAAUGUAUUCCGCUUCGGUGGUGGAUAAGGAUACCGAGUUUUGUUUCUUGGAAGACCAAGACACAAGAGAUCUGCCAAGAAAUUGACAAGUACCCGAAGUGGACUUUCUAUCAACCUUGUCUCCGGCAUAAUCCGAGUCAGAAUAGCCAACAAGAUCAAAAGAAGACCUCUUAGGAUACCAAAUGCCAAAAUUUGGUGUAUGGAUUAAAUAUAUCACUAUCCUUUUCACAGCCUUAAGAUGACAAUCUUUAGGAGCAGCUUGAUAUCGUGCACACAUGCACACACUUAGCAUAAUAUCGGGACGUGAAGCACAUAGGUAUAACAAUGAACCAAUCAUAGAGCGAUAAACCUUUUGAUCAACAGGUUCACCAUCUUUGGUCAAAUCAUUAUGUCCACUAGUAGGCAUGGGUGUAGACAUACCUUUGCAUUCUUGCAUAUUGAACUUCUUGAAUAAGUCCUUGGUGUACUUUGUUUGAGAGACAAAUGUACCUUCCUUAGUUUGCUUGAUUUGCAAACCAAGGAAGAAUUUGAGUUCACUCAUCAUAGACAUCUCAAACUUCUCUGACAUUAGCUUUCCAAACUUUUCACUAAAGAGAGGGUUAGUUGAACCAAAUAUGAUAUCAUCAACAUAAAUUUGGCAUACAAAUAGUUCUCCAUUAACCCUUUUAGUAAAAAGAGUAGAAUCAAUUUUACCAAUUUCAAAACCACUUGUAGUAAGGAACUUGGUCAAGCAUUUAUACCAUGCUCUAGGAGCUUGUUUACGACCAUAAAGAGCUUUGUGAAGUUUGUAAACAUGAUUUGGUUUCUUAGGAUUGACAAAGCCGGGAGGUUGUUUAACAUAAACUUCCUCCUCUAUUUCACCAUUUAGAAAAGCACUUUUAAUGUCCAUUUGGUACAAGGUGAUAUUAUGGUGAUUAGCAUAGGCAAGUAAGAUGCGAAUGUACUCAAGUCUAGCAAUGGGAGCAUACGUCUCACCAUAGUCCAUACCUUUGACUUGUGUGUACCCUUGGGCGACGAGACAUGCUUUGUUGCGAACCACUUGUCCAUCUUCAUCUUGCUUGUUGCGAAACACCCAUUUGGUACCAAUGAUGUUGUGGUUGUUGUCGGGCUUCUCAACCAAUGUCCAAACUUGGUUUCUCUCAAAAUUAUGUAGCUCUUCAUGCAUAGCGUUUAUCCAAUCCGGAUCUUCCAAUGCUUCUUCAACCUUCAUUGGUUCAAUGCUAGAGAUGAAUGAAUAGUUUUCACAAAAGUUAGCUAAACGAGUUUUUGAGCGAGUGAUUCUCCAGGUUUGUAUAUCAUUGAGGAUUUGCUCGACGGGAUGAUCUUUGGCAAUUCUUGCUCAAAUUCGUGAGAGCUUUUGCUUGGGUCUUCGUUGAACAUCUUCUCCAUCUUGUUCUUCUUCUUGGCCUUCUUCAUUGUUGACGUCGUCGUUCUCUUCUCGUGGUGGAGAAGGAGGUUGUUGAUGUUCAUCUUGACAUACUUCCUCGUUUUCUUCAUCUUGGUGUGUCCCACUUGUGGAUGCUUCCGUGUCAAUUCUUGGUUCACCUUGUCAUGAAGUAGAAGCUUCCACUUGGACGGAUGAAGUACUCUCCUUCACCUCCGUUGGACGAAUUUUGCCGAUGGACAAGUCUUGAAUUGCUUCUGAAGAGUCUUUGUCUCCUACAUCAAUUGGCAAUUGCUCUACUUGCGAACCAUUAGAUUCAUCAAACUUCACAUCUACCGUCUCUUCAACCUUUCGGGUGAAAUUGUUGUAGACAUGGUAAGUGUGAGAGUUUGAGCCAUAACCAAGUAGAAAACCUUCAUGAGUUUUAGGAGCAAACUUUGAACGAUGCUGCUUAUCAAGAAUGUAGCACUUUGAGCCGAAUACUCGAAAGUAUCCAACUUGGGGUUUGUUACCGGUGAGAAGCUCAUAUGCUCUCUCUUCGAAUGAAGAGGAGGUGGAGGGGUAUAUAUGGCCUCCACACAAAAUCCAACCGUUACACACAGUUUUCCAAUCUCGGUGGGACCGAAUCAAUAAACUCGGUCGGACCGAAAAUGUAAACCUAGUGACCGUUAGAGAUUUUCGGUGGGACUGACAUGCAACUCGGUAGGACCGAUAUGGUUAGGGUUUGGGCAUAACGUAAUCUCGGUGAGACCGAUUACACAAACUCGGUGAGACCGAAUUUGGUAAUUAGCUAACCAGAGAGUUGGUCAGGCAAACUCGGUGGGACCGAUUUGCUCUUUCGGUGAGACCGAGUGGAACUCGGUGAGACCGAAAAGUUACAAAGGGGAAACACUGAGUUUACAUUGCAAUCUCGGUGGGACCGUUUCGCUCUUUCGGUGAGACCGAAAAGUUACGAAAGGGAAACAGAGAGUUUGCAAUCCCAUCUCGGUGAGACCGAGAUCCCUAUCGGUAGGACCGAAUUGCUAGGGUUUGGCAGUGGCUAAUGACAAGCGAAUCUCGGUGGCGCCGGAUAGGAAGAAUCGGUAGGACCGAGUUUGGCUUAGGGUUUAGGUCAUAUGUGGAUAUGGGAAAGUAGUUGAGGGUUUUGGAGCAUAUCAUUAAGCACAUGAAGCAAGAGGCUCAUUAAGCAACACCUCAUCCCUCCUUGAUUGUAUUGGCUUUUCCUAUGGACUCAAUGUGAUCUUGGAUCACUAAAAUGUAAAAUGAAGAGUCUUGAGCUUGAAGCUUUAGCCAAUCCUUUGUCCUUAGCAUCUUGAAGGAGUUCCCACAACCUUUUGUCCAUGCCACUCCAUUGUUGAACUUAUCUGAAACAUGCUAGAUAUAAAUGUUAGUCCAACAAGAGAUAUGUUGUCAUCAAUUAUCAAAACCACCUAGGGAGCACUUGUGCUUUCAGCUGCAAUAAAGGCUAGAGUUUUGCAAGAAGAUGAAACUUCAUCAAUUGAUAGAGUUGGCGAGAGAGCAUAUAGUUAUACAACAGUGCAUACACCUCCACCUAGUACCGCAUCAUAUUAUGCAUCCCCUACACAGUUGCAAAAUUUCGACAACACUAAGAGUUCAUUGCCGAAAGAUCUUAAAAGCAUUGAGGGGCAAACUGAUCUAGAGUGGGCUGAAAUUGAGAGGGGAGUUAAAGCUUUGCGCGGUAGGGUGCAAGUACUUCACCAAGAGAGAACUGAUAGGGAAUUGGCUCAAAGAAAAGAAGCAUUGCCAAUUGAUAUAACCGGUGAAAAGAAUAAUGAUUUAGGAGCUAAAAGUGCUUUGGUUGAAAAAGCCGAAUCAAGUAGUAUAUAUUUCUAAUUCAUCAAAUCCAAAGAGGCAAGCAUCACUGAGAAAGGGCAUGGCAAGCAUAGGAAAACAAUAGUGCUUGAUUUUUUUAAGUUAAUGGAACCUACUUCCUGCCAUAUUAGUUUCGUGCCGUAGAAAUUGACAACCCUCAAGGACAAGAGCAAGUAGCCUAACAAAGUUCGGCUGACAAGGAUCUUUAAAGUAAUGAUGCAUGGAAUCAACAAAAAGAUGAUGAUAAGGCGUUGGGGAGCCAUCCAAAGAUGGAGCAAGAUAUUGUUCAAGUCACACCACCAGCAUGCUCUCCCAACAUAUUUGAAGAGGUAUGCCUAGCAAGUAAUUUACCAAUUUUCUAAUUUGGUCGCAACUUCAUAGUUGAUGCAUCUACUAGAAAAAUUCUCAUAAGUAAUUUUGAAAGACCAAUGAAGAGGUGUAAUUUACUUGUUAGUAAUAAAAAUUUUCUAGAGAAUAUCGGUCAACCCAUUGUGCCAUUUAUAAAGACCGAUAGUGAAUUAUUAUUGCAGCCAAGGCUUUCGCCAUUGCUUUAUCUAAAGUUCAAGUCAAAUUGGGUAGCUUUGCUUAUUUCUUACUUGGCUUACACUUGGUAUCAAUUCGGACAUGAAUGUUCUAACUAUCUUUGUUUUAGAAAUUUAAAGCCAAGGUUAAAUUCUAUUGAGAAAUCCCACGCUAAUAUAAUAUCUUAUCCAAAGACAUUGGAGAUAGAGUGUAAAACACAAUGCAUAGCCGAAUGGAAGACUCCAAAUCUGAAUACAAAGCCGUUCUCACAACAAGAUCGGUUCAAGAAUAAGAAGUAUACCUUCAAUUCAAACACGUGUGAUCAAAUAUUUGAUUUUUUGUUGACAAAUAAUUAUAUUAGAAUUCUUGAUCACCAUGUUAAGCCAUCAAUCCAAGGAGUAAUGCAUUGUAGCUUGCAUCAUUCGUUCAAACAUAAUUUCCAAAAUUGCAAUAUGUUUCACCAAAUAGUUAAAUUGGCCAUUGAAAAAGGACGAUUGAAAUUUGUUGAAACACCAAGAGAUGACCGGUCUAAUCCGAAUGGUCCUGAUGGCAAAAACUUUUUGCAUCGGCUUCAUCAAGCCUUCCAUUUAAAGAGAAGGUAAAGACUGCAGGUCACGGGAUCAAGUUUUCAAGUAAAGAAGUUGUUGAAGAGCAAAAUGAACAUAAUCUUGAGGGCGAGAAUUCCAUUAAAGCUACAAUGAAGACGCCAAGGACUGGGGGCAGCAAGCAAAUCCAAUGAUCAAGGAAAGCAAUGCAAAAGAAAACAAAGGCUGAAAUAAGCGCAAGUGUAAGAGAACAACAAUCACCUUUGUUGAACUAUUGAAUAAAUAUCAAAAGAAGAGUGAAGAGAAGAAUGCUUAUCAGCCAAAUCAUGCAAAGAAACCAAGAUCACCCCACGACGCAAAUAUGAGGAUCGGUAUUGGCAAAGUGAGAAUUUUCAUGCAACAUAUUCAUAUCCUUAUUUUGGGCCACCAAUGCCAAUGCUGUGAUGUCUCCCUAUGCUCAUAUAGAUCCAUAUCCAUCAUGGGACAUGUAAGAUACAAGGGCACAUUCUCCAUCUUACUUUAGACCAUCUCACCAAUAUGAUGCAGAUCCGAGAAGAUCAAUAUUUGAACAAUCACAUGUUAAAGACCAUUUCAAUCAUAAGGAGUCAGUACGGAGCUCAAGGAAGAAGAAAGAGCUGGUCUAGCAAGUUUACUGCGUUAAAAGAGAUGGUCAUAAGAGUGCUACUUUAGAUUUGAUCUCAAAUGAAAAAGAGCCAAUUGAAGUGUUGACAUUGGUUACUAAAGGCAAUGAGAUAAAGCAACCAAUUAUUGAGAGUCAAAGUGCCAAAUCUGAAGAAAAGAAGUUGAGAGUGCACAAGGCCAAGAAAGAAUUGCCAUUGGUCAAAACAGAAACACAACCGAGAUGCCCACUCAGCUUAUUGUAUUGGCAAAAGAAGGAAUUGCAAAAUCUUAGUGCACAAGAUCUGAGAAAGAAGAACAUGGCAUGGGUUCCCAAGAGGAUCAAUCAAAACAAAAAUGAUGUGCAUGCUUCUGUUGCAACAACACUAUUGCAGGAUGCUGCUAAUGCAACACUACAAUCAGAGACGCUUCGAUGAAACUGCGUGCAAUGCAUUAAUCGCAACAAUGAUGUAAAAAACAAUAAAAAAGAUGCAGAACAUUUGUCAUGGUGUAUACAUCAAACACGGUUCAGAUUUUAGAUGCGUGUGUGAUGCGGGGCAUAUGGCUGAUACAUAUGAAUUGUUUGCGAUGAGAUAGAACAACAGAAAUGGGCAGCCAUAUCAAGGUGUGUGUGAUAUACGGCAUACAGUUCACCGAAAUAAACUGUUCGUGAUUGAUACGUCCAUUUUGCAUCAUGUUUUCUUACAGCUAUUUAUGAUGUUUUUAUCCAUAAUAAUGCUUUUUGGAGUAAUUCUAAUGCCUUUUCUCUGAUAAUAUGCAAGGUAUACACAAAGAGGGAGAAUUCCGGCAGCUGGAAAUCUAGACCUAGAAAACCUACGCCAGGCCACCUAUUCUGCACAACUCCAAACAUGCUGAAACUUCACGGAGAUUUUUUAUGGAUUAUUUGAGGAAUAUUGAAGCAAAUAACUACCAGAGGGGGCCCACCAGGUGGGCACAACCCACCUGGGCACGCCAGGGAGCCCAAACGCGCCCUAGUGGGUUGUGCUCACCCAGGCCCACCUCCGGUGCCCAUCUUCUGGUAUAUAAGUCAUUUUGACCUAGAAAAAAAAGAGAGAAAUUUCGGGAUGGAGCGCCGCCGUCUCGAGGUGAAACUUGGGCAGGAGCACUUUUGCCCUCUGGCGGAGCGAUUCCGCCUGGGGAACUUCCCUCUCGGAGGGGGAAAUCAUCGUCAUCAUUGAGGGAGUCCUGGAUUAGGGGGUCCUCAGACAGCCGGACUAUAUACUUUGGCCAGACUGUUGGACUAUGAAGAUACAAGAUUGAAGGCUUCGUCCCGUGUCCGGGUGGGACUCUGAUGACCCACAAGUAUAGGAGAUCAAUCGUAGUCCUUUUGAUAAGUAAGAGUGUCGAACCCAAUGAGGAGCAGAAGGAAAUGUUAAGCGGUUUUCAGCAAGGUAUUCUCUGCAAGCACUGAAAUUAUAGCUAAUAGAUAGUUUUGUGAUAAGAUAAUUUGUAAAGAGCAAGAAGUAACAAAAGUAAAUAAAGUGCAGCAAGGUGGCCCAAUCCCAUUUGUAGCAAAGGACAAGCCUGUACAAAUUCUUUUAUAGAGAAAAGCGCUCCCGAGGACACAUGGGGAUAUCCUCAAGCUAGUUUUCAUCACGUUCAUAUGAUUCGCGUUCGGUACUUUGAUAAUUUGGUAUGUGGGUGGACCGGUGCUUGGGUACUGUCCUUACUUGGACAAGCAUCCCACUUAUGAUUAACCUCUAUUGCAAGCAUCCGCAACUACAACAAAAGUGUUAAGGUAAACCUAACCAUAGCAUGAAACAUAUGGAUCCAAAUCAGCCCCUUACGAAGCAACGCAUAAACUAGUGUUUAAGCUUCUGUCACUCUAGCAACCUAUCAUCUACUUAUUACUUCCCAAUGCCUUCCUCUAGGCCCAAAUAAUGGUGAAGUGUCAUGUAGUCGACGUUCACAUAACACCACUAGAGGAGAGACAACAUACAUCUCAUCAAAAUAUCGAACGAAUACCAAAUUCACAUGACUACUAAUAGCAAGACUUCUCCCAUGUCCUCAGGAACAAACGUAACUACUCACAAAGCAUAUUCAUGUUCAUAAUCAGAGGGGUAUUAAUAUGCAUAUAGGAUAUGAACAUAUGAUCUUCCACCAAAUAAACCAACUAGCAUCAACUACAAGGAGUAAUUAACACUACUAGCAACCCACAGGUACCAAUCUCAGACUUGGAGACAAGAAUUGGAUACAAGAGAUGAACUAGGGUUUGAGAGGAGAUGGUGCUGGUGAAGUUGUUAAUGGAGAUUGACCCCCCUCCCGAUGAGAGGAUCGUUGGUGAUGACGAUGGCGAUGAUUUCCCCCUCCCGGAGGGAAGUUUCCCCGGCAGAACAGCUCCGCCGGAGCCCUAGAUUGAUUCCGCCUCGUGGCAACGGAGUCUCGUCCCGAAAGCUUGCUUAUGAUUUUUUCCUCAUAGAAAGACUCCAUAUAGCAGAAGAUGGGCAUUAGAGGGCCACCAGGGGGCCCACGAGGUAGGGGGCGCACCCAGGGGGUUAGGGCGCGCCCCCCACCCUCGUGGGCAGGGUGUGGCCCUCCUCUGGAACUUCUUGCGCUCAGUAUUUUUUAUGUAUUCUGAAAAUGACUUCCGUGAAGUUUCAGGACUUUUGGAGCUGUGCAGAAUAGGUCUCUAAUAUUUGCUCCUUUUCCAACCCAGAAUCCCAGCUGUCGGCAUUCUCCCUCUUUAUGUAAACCUUGUAAAAUAAGAGAAUAGGCAUAAGUAUUGUGACAUAAUGUGUAAUAACAGCCCAUAAUGCAAUAAAUAUCGUUAUAAAAGCAUGACGCAAAAUGGACGUAUCAACUCCCCCAAGCUUAGACCUCGCUUGUCCUCAAGCGAAAGCCAAAAUCGAAAAAUAUGUCCACAUGUUUAGAGAUAGAGGUGUCGAUAAAAAUAAAAUAUGGACAUGAGGGCAUCAUGAUCAUUCUUAGAAUAGCAACUUAUAUAAUUCUUGUCAUAUGAUCUAUGAUGUUAGAGUAACAAUUCAAUCACAAUUUCAAGUAUGAAUCAUAAACUUCAUUGAAAAUAACAAACUAUAAUCUCAGUCAUUGGAGCAAUUGCAAUUUACCAUAACAUAGGAAAGAGUCAAUAUAAGAGCUUUUCAUCAAGUCCACAUACUCAACUAUCAUAUAGUCUUUCACAAUUGCUAACACUCACGCAAUACUUAUUAGUAUGGAGUUUUAAGCGGACACAGAGAAAGAUAGGGGCUUAUAGUUUUGCCUCCCAACGUUUUACCUCAAGGGUAAUGUCAACAAUAAUAGUUCAUGAAAACUCACAUCCAAUUAGCCAUAUAUACCAGGAUCUUUCCAACAUGUUGUGCUUGCCAAAAGAUAAAAUGUAUAAAGGAAGGGUGAAGAUCACCAUGACUCUUAUGCAAGGUGGGAGAUAAAAGUAAAAGAUAGGCCCUUCGCAGAGGGAAGCAGAGGUUGUCAUGCGCUUUUAUGGUUGGAUGCACAAAAUCUUAAUGCGAAAGAACGUCACUUUAUAUUGCCACUUGUGAUGUGGACCUUUAUUAUGCAGUUUGUCACUUUUAUUUCUUCCAUAUCACACGAUCGUCUAAAGCUUAUUUUCUCCCACACUAAUAAGUCAUACAUAUUUAGAGAGUAAUUUUAUUGCUUGCAUUGAUAACAACUUACUUGGAGGAUCUAACUCAAUCCAUAGGUAGGUAUGGUGGACUCUCAUGGCAAAACUGGUUUAAGGGUGUUUGGAAGCACAAGUAGUAUCUCUACUUGGUGCAAAGAAUUUGGCUUGCAUGAGGGGGAAAGGCAAGCUCAAUCAUGUUGGAUGAUCCAUGACAAUAUAAUUUGUCUCGGAUGUAAGUAAACAUAACCCAUUACGUUGUCUUCCUUGUCCAACGUCAACUCUUUAGCAUGUCAUAUUUUAAUGAGUGCUCACAAUCAUAAAAGAUGUCCAACAUAGUAUAUUUAUAUGUGAAGACCUCCCUUUCUUUAUUACUUCUUAUUAAUUGCAACGAUGACCAAAACUAUGUUUGUCAACUCUCAACAACUUUUAUUCAUCAUACUCUUUCUAUGUGAGCUCAUUACUCUCCAUAAGAUCCAUAUAAUCUCUUUUAUUUCUUUUUAUUCCUUCUAUUUUCUUUAUUCACUCAAGAUCAUGGCAAAAUAAGCAAGCCCUUGACUCAACACUAAUCUUUCUUAUAUAUAGCUCACGGACUCAAUUACAUAGAAGGAUCAUAAAGCAAAACUCACAACUAGAUCAUACUAAGAACUUUUAUUCUACUAUAUCAAAAUAUUAUCAAAAGGAUCGAACUAAGAAAAGCAGUAAAGAUAAAAGUGAUGGUGAUACAAUACCGGGUGAAAGAUCAUGGAUGUCGCCUAGAGGGGGGGUGAAUAGGCGCUUUAAAAUAAUUAUGGUUUAGGCUUGAACAAAUGCGGAAUAAACCUAGCGGUUAAUUUGCCAAGCAUAAAACCUAAAACAACUAGGCUCACCUAUGUGCACCAACAACUUAUGCUAAGCAAGAUAAGCAACUAUGAGAUAGCAAGAUAUAUGACAAAGAACAAUGUGGCUAUCACAAAGUAAAGUGCAUAAGUAAAGGGCUCGGGUAAGAGAUAACCGAGGCACGAGGAGACGACGAUGUAUCCCGAAGUUCACACCCUUGUGGAUGCUAAUCUCCGUUUGGAGCGGUGUGGAGGCACAAUGCUCCCCAAGAAGCCACUAGGGCCACCGUAAUCUCCUCACGCUCUCGCACAAUGCAAGAUGCCGUGAUUCCACUAAGGGACCCUUGAGGGCGGUCACCAAACCCGUACAAAUGGCAACCCUUGGGGGCGGUCACCGAACCCGUACACUUUGGCAACCCUUGGGGGCGGUCACCGGUACCCGUCAAAUUGCUCGGGGCGAUCUCCACAACCUAAUUGGAGACCCCGAUGCUUACCCGGAGCUUUGCACCACAAUGAUUGAGCUCCGAACACCAACAACCGUCUAGGGCGCCCAAGCACCCAAGAGGAACAAGCUCAAGGGUACCAAGCACCCAAGAGUAAUAAGCUUCUCAACUUGUAACUUCCACGUAUCACGUGGAGAACUCAAACCGAUGCACCAAAUGCAAUGGCAAGGGCACAUGGAGUGCCCAAGUCCUUCUCUCUCAAAUCCCACCGAAGCAACUAAUGCUAGGGAGGAAAAUGAGAGGAAGAACAAGAAAGAGAACACCAAGAACUCCAAGAUAUAGAUCCAAGGGGUUCCCCUCACAUAGAGGAGAAAGUGAUUGGUGGAAAUGUGGAUCUAGAUCUCCUCUCUCUUUUCCCUCAAAAACUAGCAAGAAUCCAUGGAGGUAUUGAGAGUUAGCAAGCUCGAAGAAGGUCAACAAUGGGGGAAGAACACGAGCUCAAAAGAUAAGGUUCAAAGGGGAAGAAGAGCCCCUUUUAUAGGAGGGGGAAAAUCCAACCGUUAUCCCCCACUCAGCCCCGCAGAGAGCGGUACUACCGCUCCAUGAGCGGUACUACCGCUCAGGAGGAAGAAACAGGGAAAGGAGCAACAAAACAUGAACCUUGGGACGGUAGUACCGUAGGAGACAGCGGUACUACCGCACCCUUUGGCGGUACUGCCGCGCAGAACGAAGGGUAAAAGGAAAGAGGGAAUCAGGCGGUACUACCGCGGAGGAAGGGCGGUACUGCCGCGGCGAGGUACCGCACAAUCCGACACAGAAAAAGACCCCUCGAAUCGACGUGGUAGGGACCUGGUAAGCCAACGGUAGUACUGCUGCGGAGUCACCGCCGGUACUACCGCUGUAGAGCAAUACUGCCGCUUGUGACUCCUCAGCGGUACUACCGCUGGGCACCAUGGUACUACCGCUGGGACCCUGACAAAAACCACACUCAAGAAAACCAGAACUGCCAUAACUUCUGCAUAUGAGCUCCGAAUUGAGCAAACUCAAGCUUGUUGGAAACAAGACGACGAGUAGCAUCAAAACAGCGGAGGUAUGCCAACAAAUAGAGGAGAGAAACCUCCAACCGAGAAGAACCGGCAAAACCUCCAACAUCGAAAACAUCAUAGAAGAUGCAUGCGAACUCUGUUUUCGAUGAACUCAAGCUUGUCAUCAAGAUGACCAUAAGCUCUAAGACUCACAAAGAGAACCAAACAAGAACCAAGAAAGAUGAUGCAAGGAUGCAAUGGUUUGAGCUCUCUAUGAACGAUAUGAUCAAGCUACUCAUUGAGAGCCCCCCUUGAUAGUACGACAAUCGAUCCUAUAACCCGGUCUCCCAACUACCAUCAUGAGACCGGUAAAAUAGAAAACCUACCAAGGGCAAACCUUUGCCUUGCACAUGGUCCAUUUGAGCUAGAUGAUGACGAUCUUGACUCCCUCAAGUUGGACCACCUUUCUUGAUUGGGUUGACUCGAUGAAGACUAGUUGAUUGCUCCCCCAUACUCCACUAUGGGUGAGCCACUCUUCCGCACAUCUUCACAAGUCCAUUGUCACCACAAAGGACGGCAAGCUUCAAGCAUUUGAUCUCUUCGUGAUGCUCCACUUGAACUCGCACACCGCAACCUAACCCCACAAAGAACCCUCACGAAGACCAUGGGUUAGUACACAAAGCGUAAUUGGCAAUGCUUACCAUACCAUGGGAUCACUUGAUCCCUCUCGGUACAUCUUCUACGCUUUGUGGGUUGAUCAUCUUGAUUCACUCUUUGACUUAGUCUUGAUCAACCUCUCACAAGACCAAUCUUUAGGUAAUUCCUUGAAUAGCACCUUGGUCGACACAAACUCUCCUUGAACCCAACACAUGUACUCCAAGAAAAGCCUAUGGACAAAACCUUCAAAUAUAACUCAAUGCAACCAUUAGUCCAUAGAGAUUGUCAUCAAUUACCAAAACCAAACAUGGGGGCACCGCAUGUUCUUUCACCGGGGCACUCCCCCAAGCUUGGAAGUUGCCAAGGGGAGUUCCCAUACCAGAUACUCAAUUCUUCUUUGUUGGUGGAGAGGGUGGAGUUGUUGAUGACGUAGGCUUCUUCCUUAAUUUGUGCUUGAGGACAGAAUUUUGAUCCCUUAGGGCAUCGAUCUCCUGCUCAAGACUUAAUAUCUUCUUGCAUAAUUCUUGUUUGUUUUCAUGUCCCCAGGUUGAGGUAAUGGGAUUUCAUCUUCAUCUGAACUCGUCUCCUCCUUUCCCCUGGGUUCAUAGUCCUCUUCUUCUUAGUCCAACCGCAAUACUCCACAUCCCCAUAGACCUUAGGAUCUGCAAGAUAAUCAACCACAUAAAUUUCUCCUUCCGAAUCCUGGGACGACAUAUUGCUCUAAUCUGUAGCAGGAAUAGCUUGAAACAAGAACAUGAGAUUUUUGUGUGAUACGGGAGUUAAAACCUUCGGGAGAUUAUAUAAUGAAUUUUUACUGACCAAAGUACGUAACGUGCAAGAAAAUGAAGUCCGGAGAACACAUGAGGUGCCCACGAGGUAGGGGGCGCGCCCAGGGGGGUAGGGCGCGCCCUCCACCCUCGUGGAGCCUUCGUGUCCUUCCCGGACUGCUUCUUAUUUUUCUAUUUUUCUAAAUAUUCCAAAAUGGAAGAAAAUUACCAUUAGAACUGUUUUUGAGUCGGUUUACUUACCGUACCACAUACCUAUUCCUUUUUGGAGUCUGAAAUGUUCCGGAAAGUGUCCCUUAUGUAUUCCUCCGGGGUUAUGGUUUCAAUAACAUUGGUUUCAACAUUUAUAGGAUUACCUAAGAUAUAACGUUUGAUUCUUUGACCGUUCACCACCUUCGGAUUUGUGCCUUCGAAGUUGUUGAUUUUUAUGGCACCGGAACAAUAGACUUCCUCGAUAACGUAAGGACCUUCCCAUUUAGAGAGAAGUUUCUUGCAAAAAAUCUUAAACGAGAGUUGUAUAGCAAUACAUAAUCACCCACAUUAAACUCACGCUUUUGUAUCCUUUUGUCAUGCCAUCUUUUAACUUUUCUUUAAACAAUUUGGCAUUCUCAUAGGCUUGGGUUCUCCAUUCAUCAAGUGAGCUAAUGUCAAAUAACCUCUUCUCACCGCAAGUUUGAAAUCGUAAUUGAGUUCUUUAAUAGCCCAAUAAGCCUUAUGUUCUAGUCGUGACAUGCUUUUCCAUAAACCAUUUUAUACGGAGACAUACCCAUAGGAUUUUUAUAUGCAGUUCUAUAGGCCCAUAAUGCGUCAACAAGUUUCUUGGACCAAUUCUCUCUAGAUCUAUUAACAGUAUUGUAACAUCCCAAAUUUUCAAUUUGGAAUGUUAUACAUUAGAUCAUCAUUUCAUAUCAUAUUUUAUUGCUUUUCUGGUUGAUCCUAGAAAUUCUACGCAACUCAAGGACCCUCGGAGAGAGUUGGGGAUUUCGUUAUUUUCAUAUUUGAGUUUUUCUCAAACUUUGAAAAUAGGAUCAUUUGAUUUUAUUUAUUUUAUCUUCAAUUAUUUCUAUUAUCAAAAUAUGAGAGAGGAAAUAAAAUGACUUUCCCAAAAUAAAGAAAUAUUGAGGAUUAAUAAAAAAAUCAAAUAAGAUUUUAUUUUGGUUUUAUUUGCUAUUUUAUUUGAAUUUAGGAAAAAAUGCACGUUUUCAAAAAUUGCAUUUAGAGCCAAAAAAAUGUUCAUCCUGUUCUAAAUAUUUUAUUUAGAUGGAGAAAUUUUGUUUUGGCAUUUUUAGAUUUUUAUUAAUUUUUUUCUAGAUUUUUUUAGGGGAAGCGAAAUUGUUAAAAAAAGAAGAAAAAACCCGUGCCCGACUGGGCCAAGGGCCCAGCCGAGCAGGCGGGCCCAGCCAGCCACCGCCGCCUCCAGCCGGAUCAGGACCGGAGUCCCGAUCGCCGCCGCCGUGUCCGGGGAGGACACGCCUCUCGAGGCCGACCCCUCCCCCAAGUCGACCUCCCCCGCCCCUUUAUAACCGCCGCCGCCCCCUGCAACCCCACACCGCCACCCCGCGACCUGCACCGCUGCCGCCGCCGCACGCCGCCUGCCACCUCCCGAAGCCGCCGCCGUGCCGCUUGCCGCGCCCCNNNNNNNNNNNNNNNNNNNNNNNNNNNNNNNNNNNNNNNNNNNNNNNNNNNNNNNNNNNNNNNNNNNNNNNNNNNNNNNNNNNNNNNNNNNNNNNNNNNNNNNNNNNNNNNNNNNNNNNNNNNNNNNNNNNNNNNNNNNNNNNNNNNNNNNNNNNNNNNNNNNNNNNNNNNNNNNNNNNNNNNNNNNNNNNNNNNNNNNNNNNNNNNNNNNNNNNNNNNNNNNNNNNNNNNNNNNNNNNNNNNNNNNNNNNNNNNNNNNNNNNNNNNNNNNNNNNNNNNNNNNNNNNNNNNNNNNNNNNNNNNNNNNNNNNNNNNNNNNNNNNNNNNNNNNNNNNNNNNNNNNNNNNNNNNNNNNNNNNNNNNNNNNNNNNNNNNNNNNNNNNNNNNNNNNNNNNNNNNNNNNNNNNNNNNNNNNNNNNNNNNNNNNNNNNNNNNNNNNNNNNNNNNNNNNNNNNNNNNNNNNNNNNNNNNNNNNNNNNNNNNNNNNNNNNNNNNNGCGCCACCACCGCUGCCGCCGAGGUAGCCGUCGGCAGGUUUUUGAGAAAAAAACCGAUUCGGUUUUUUUUUGAAAACCCUAGUUUCUUUUUUUUAAAAUAAAUAGAUCGGUUUUUUCCGGUUUAUUUAUUUAGCGAGCGCCCGUUCGUCCGUUCGUUUUAACGAACACAUUUUUCAUUUAGUUUCUUUUAACGAACGUUUGUUCGUUAACUGUUCGUCAUUUUUCUUUUUCUCGGAUUAAAUCCGUGGUUUUUCUGAUCGCUAUCUUUGAUCCGAUGUUCGUUCUAGUUUAUCUUUUCGCUCUUUUUUCGGAAUCAGGCGAUUCAAGCGCCUGGAGUUUCGUCUGGAAACCCUCUUUCUGUUUAACCAACUCAAACAAGUUUUUGCCGUUGUAAAAAUGGCCUUAGAUCCAGAAUAGUAAACAAAGCUUGUUUCUUUUGCCGUUUGUCUUUCCUAGCUCAUUUUGAUUCUUUUUGCCAACCGAAAUUCUUAAGUUGAACUUUCUAGUUAGAUCGUUUGUUCGAGUUUUACCUGUGCAUUAGUUGAGUACUUAUUGUGUGCUUGUUUGUUUGCGAUAGAGUACCCGGAGUGCGCCACUUGCUACUUCGAAUCGCUAGGUUAUCCGGAUCAUCAGCAAGGCAAGUAACACUUUGAUCAUACCUCCUACUAUCCAGUUUUAUUGCAUUAGAUCAAUCCUCACACAUUGCCUGGUUAGGAUCUAAUUAAAUUGUGGGUUUGGGUAGUAGUUGAGGUAGAACCUAUUACCUGUUUAUUAUCAAACCUUUGGGAGUUACUCUACAUUUGCUUAUUAUUGCUAUGCUAUGCUAGUAGACGUGGAUUGGGUGAGUGUAUCCAUGACAGUUGUGAGCUUUGUUAAUUAAUGGUUUAUUUAAGGUGGCAACCUAAACACACAUCUGGGUGGAUUGAGGCACCUGGGUAUUCCAACGAUUGCCUAUUUUCUUUUGGACCGCCACCCAGGCUCAAAGGGAUCAUGAGCUUUUUCAUACUAGAAACUUCCAUGUGCAGCCACAAGCUACUAUGGGCUCUAGCAUAGUUGACUAAGUCAUGCAAACUCUUACAGUGGUAGACUAGCAGAUGUAGGUGAUGUAGGUUGGUACGGUCUACCCGUUCGUAAGGUGCUAGCGCUUCUGAAAGACUAUGUCUCGGUCAUCCGUUUCUCAAAUACCAUGCAGUGCGAGAAAAACCAACAGAGGAGAUCGAGUCUUGUGGGAAAAGUGCGCAAACCUCUGCAGAGUGUAUAAACUAAUCAUGGUUAGCCGUGUCCCCGGUUAUGGACAUCUUGAGUAUCUAGUACCUGGAUUAUCAUGUGAAUCUCAUCAUGUUACUCUAAUUAAUUUUUGUUGGGUUUUUAAUGAUGAUGCUUAAUUGGGAUUGAGAAUGCUGUCAACCAUUCUCAAUGUUUAACAACUACCAUGAUAGUUAAAUAAAAUUUAUUCCUUUGCAGUUGGGAAAAAUUGGUUUUACGCAAAACUAUAACCAUAGAGCUCUCCACCAGCCAUAUAUGUAUAGAAUAGCCAUAUUCUUGUAUUACUCUAUAUGUGUUACUUUGCCAGCAUAUUCCAUGUGCUGACCCGUUUCGGGCUGCAACGUUAAUGUUGUAGACUUUUUAGACGAUGAUUAAGGUGCCUUAGGUUGUGGUUCUAUACUUAGUGGUGCCGCUGGAGUUGAUGGACUCACUUAUCUUCCAAGCCUUCCGUUGUUAUCGUUAUUAGAUGGCCUUAAGCCAUAUUUAUUGAAUAAGUUCUCUUUUGAGACACUCAAUAUAAUAAGUGUGUGAUUGCUACUCUGUUAUAAAUCCUUCAAGUACUGUGUGGUGUCAGCAUUACUGAUCCAGGGAUGACACCGGAGCACAGAGAUUGGACCGUUUGAGGUCUGGUCGCUACAAGAUGGUAUCAGAGCACACGCUGACUGUAGGACACGACCACUAAGCUAAAGCCCUAGAUCACUACUUACUCUUCUCCUUCUAACCUCUCAUCUUUUCUACUCCUUUAGGAUGGCGGAUGCAAGGAACAAGUUCAUACAACCGGAUGAAGAUACACCCUUUGGACGUCACUUGAAGGAAUUCACUAGAUACCUGAACAUAGGAGUACCAAGCUUCACCGAAACCUACAACGCCACAUUAUCUGAAGAAGAGCACUGGAUGAUUCAAGUUCAAGUUCCAGGAAGGACGUUCAUGCCAGUCACUGAGCCCAUAGAGUUUUCUUUUGAUGCACCAACUUGGAGUCUAGGAAAGAGCAUGGCAGCUCUCAUCGCCAUGGGACGCAUUGGAGAAGUUUACUGCAAUGAUCUCAAGGAUACUAUCUACCAGAUUUGUGGGCGCCAAGAUGAGCACUGGGAGAUGAUCAGCACCAGGAAGGAUAGAUCAAUUGCAGCUUUUAUCCAGGAGUUAAACCAGCACAUUCGAUUCGAUGUCAGGAGAACCAGAUGUGCGCAGACCUGAUAGAUCUAAAGAAGGCGAGGACAAGAAUCAAGGAACUGGAGGAAGAACUCAAGGCUACACGUGAAGAUUAUGAAGAGGAAAUCAAAGUGUUAGUGGAAAAGAAUGACGAUCUGAUCAAGAAGAUUGGAAUAUUCAUGGGAGACCCUACACCAGUAGAAGAAGACGAAGAACCCAAGGAGAUUCGCCCGGAAGACUACAUCAUCAUCGACGACACCGACUCGGAUCCAGAUGAUAGCGAUGAUGACAAUGUUGAUGAAGCUGGAGCAGAUAUCAUGUAGUCCACAACCGAAGAGUAUUUCUAGUAGACCACUGAGGGAGUCCUAGAUUAGGGGGUGUCCGGAUGGCCGGACUAUACCUUCAGCCGGACUCCUGGACUAUGAAGGUACAAGAUUGAAGACUUCGUCCCGUGUCCGGAAGGGACUUUCCUUGGCGUGGAAGGCAAGCUUGGCGAUACGGAUAUGCAGAUCUCCUCCCAUUGUAACCGACUUUGUGUAACCCUAACCCUCUCUGGUGUCUAUAUAAACCGGAGGGUUUUAGUCCGUAGGACAACAUACACAACAACAAUCAUACCAUAGGCUAGCUUCUAGGGUUUAGCCUCUCCGAUCUCGUGGUAUAUCUACUCUUGUACUACCCAUAUCAUCAAUAUUAAUCAAGCAGGACGUAGGGUUUUACCUCCAUCGAGAGGGCCCGAACCUAGGUAAAACUUCGUGUCCCUUACCUCCUGUUACCAUUCGGCCUAGACGCACAGUUCGGGACCCUCUACCCGAGAUCCGCCAGUUUUGACACCGACAUUGGUGCUUUCAAUGAGAGUUCCUCUGUGUCGUCGCCGUCAGGCUUGAUGGAUCCUACGAUCAUCGAUAGUGAUGCGGUCCAGGGUGAAACUUGUCUCCCCGGACAGAUCUCUGUCUUCGGCGGCUUUCCACUGCGGGCCAAUUCACUUGGCCAUCUGGAGCAGAUCGAAAGCUAUGCCCCUGGACGCCAGGUCAGAUUUGGAAGUUUAAACUACACGGCUGACAUCCGUGAGGACUUGAUCUUCGACGGAUUCGAGCCACUGCCGAGCGUGCGGCACUGCCACGACGAGCAUGAUCUAGCUCUGCCGCCUAACAGUGCCCUGAAGGCCGCACCCGCAUCGGCUUCGACCCUUAAUUCGGAGCCAACUGCGCCGAUCGAGGAUGGGUGGAUGGACGCCGCCUUGGGGGCUGCGAUCCUAGCGGCGAUCGAGCCGAACACCAGCCCCGCACUCCGCGAGACUCGUGAUUCCAAGGAGCCGGACUCCUCUCCGGACUCCGAACCAUUCGCGCCUCUGCCGAUCGGAUCCGAUUGGGCGCCGAUCAUGGAGUUUACUGUCGCGGACAUCUUUCAGCACUCGCCCUUUGGCGAUAUUAUGAAAUCACUAAAGUCUCUCUCUUUAUCAGGAGAGCCCUGGCCGGACUACGGUCAACGAGAUUGGGAUACGGACGAUGAAGAAAUUCAAAGCCCACCCACCACCCACUUUGUAGCCACUGUCGAUGAUUUAACCGACAUGCUCGACUUCGACUCCGAAGACAUCGACGGUAUGGACGCCGAUGAAGGAGACAAUGAAGAACCAGCGCCUAUUGGGCCCUGGAACGCCACCUCGUCAUAUGACGUAUACAUGGUGGAUGCACCAAAAGAUGACGACGAGGAGCGAAAGGACGCACCGAAGGCUUGUUCCCUUAAAAAGCAGUCAAAGCAGCAACGCAAGAGCCACCCCAAAUCCCGCCUCGACAGAAAUAGCGAUCACACAGACCCAGCGCUGGAGCAGGGCGAACCACUGCCAGACAACGGCAAUCCGGAUAAUCAAACCGAACAAACAAAUCCUAUCAAGGAUAAUGGUCCGGACGACAUAACGCCGGACAGGCACCCGGAGCUGCAGACUGCCUGUAAAAGGCUUGUUGCCACCACGAGGAGUCUGAAAAAGCAGAAGCAAAGGCUCAAGGCCGCGCAAGACACACUCCAAAUCAGAUGGAGUAAAAUACUCAACACAACAGCAAGGUACGGCGACAAUCGCCCCUCCAAGAGCUACCCAAAGCGGAAGCUGCUACCUGAAUUCGAUGAGGAGGCCUCAGACCCCCCACAACCAAAUAUCAAAGCAGCCACCUGGUCGGAUAGACGACCCCUCUACCAAAAUAGAGCGGCAUACAACGCCGCUCACAAUACAACACGCGACCCAUGCGAGGGCUCGCACCCAAAGGAUGGUGCAACAAGAUCCAUCUAUGGACCACGCAAGCGCGCCCCAACAUACAAUGCAACACAACAAACAUCCGAACAACGCGGUACACCUAGCUACAGGGGUGCCGCACACCCCUAUGUUUCACCGAUGAGGUGCUGGACCAUGAAUUUCCAGAGGGAUUCAAGCCCGUAAACAUAGAGGCAUACGACGGACCAACAGACCCUGAGGUCUGGAUUGAGGACUACAUCCUCCAUAUCCAUAUGGCUCGAGGAGAUGAUCUCCACGCCAUCAAGUACUUACCCCUCAAGCUCAAAGGGCCAGCUCGUCACUGGCUCAAAGGCCUCCCCGAAAGCUCCAUUGGAAGUUGGGAAGAGCUCGAAGACGCCUUUCAGGCAAAUUUUCAAGGUACUUAUGUCCGACCUCCGGAUGCGGACGAUUUGAGUCAUAUAACUCAACAGCCCGGAGAGUCAGCCCGAAAGCUUUGGAACAGGUUUCUUACUAAAAAGAACCAGAUUGUCGACUGUCCGGACGCCGAAGCCUUGGCAGCUUUCAAGCAUAGCGUCCGUGACGAAUGGCUCGCUAGACACCUCGGCCAAAAUAAGCCGAGAACGAUGGCCGCAUUAACAAACCUCAUGACCCGCUUUUGCACGGGUGAGGACAGCUGGCUAGCCAGAUGCAGCACCAGCGACCCCAGUACAUCUGAAGUUAGAGAUGGAAAUAGGAAAUCACGGCGCAACAGCAAUAACAAACGCCGGAAUAAAGAAGACAACACGAAGGGCACAACAGUAAAUGCCGGAUUCAAAAGCUCUCGGCCAGGUCAAAAGCCACCCCGUAAAGGCACGAGGGACGAACUGUCCAGCCUCAACAAAAUUCUGGACCAAGUAUGUCAGAUCCGUAGUACCCCUGGUAAACCUGCUAAUCAUACCCACAGAGAAUGUUGGGUCUUCAAGCAGUCCGGCAAGCUCAACGCCGUACAUAAGGGGGAGGAUACACCAAGUGAAGACGAGGACGAGCCUCCCAAGCAAGAGACGACAGAACAAAAGAAAUUUCCACCAGAAGUCAAAACAGUAAACGUGUUACACAUGAUCAAGGGAAAAAACAACACGACACUCCCAGGAAAAUAUACCCAAGUGCCUGUCACCGUGAAGUCCUGCCACUGGUCGUCUCAACCAAUCACUUUCGACCAUCGCGAUUACUCAGCAAAUAUCCGACACGCAGGAUGGACUGCCCUGGUAUUAGACCCAGUAAUUGGCGGAUAUCACUUCACACGAGUCUUGAUGGACGGCGGCAGCAACCUAAAUUUAAUAUAUCAGGAUACAAUCCGCGGGAUGGGGUUAGACCCAACACAAAUUCGCCAUAGCAAUAAUACCUUUAAAGGAGUAAUGCCAGGCCCAGGGGCUCGUUGUACGGGCUCCCUCCUACUAUAGGUUAUAUUCGGCUCCCCCGAUAACUUCUAUCACGAGCAUUUAACCUUCCACAUCGCUCUGUUUCAAAGUGGCUAUCAAGCACUGCUCGGACGCGAAGCUUUCGCUCGCUUUAAUGCAAUACCACACUACGCCUCCCUCACACUAAAGAUGCCUGGUCCACGUGGCAUCAUUUCAGUGAACAGAAAUAUCAAGCGAUCUCUGCGCGCCGAAGAGAGUGCGGCUGCCUUGGCAGCCGCACACUAAAGGCGCCCGGACCAGUGAAAGCAUCCAAAUAGGUUGUCAAGACCUCAGACACAACUAAUCAAGUCCGGCGCCGCUAUUUAUACCGAAUAAGUGGUCACACCCCUAUUUGUCAAUACAAGGGGCUCAACGCGCGCAGACAAGUGGCAAUUUCUUAUCAUCUUGAAUUAUACAUGGUUUCUUUAAAAACUAUCUUUUUGCACGACAACUUUUUCACUUAACUUCCUCUCUUUUGCAGACGAUCAUCGUGCUACACCCAUCCAGGAUACGACACAACAGAGACACAGGCGCAGACGUGCAGCAGGGACCCGCUCCAAGGAUUCUUUUUAGAUUAAGACCCUGCGUAAACCUUUUUUACUGUCUCUUGUUGAUACAUAUCCACCGUUGAGAAGGAUGCUGACGUCUUGGCAUGUGGCCACGCCAGAACAAUGCAUGUACCUGGACACAAGGGGCUUCUUACAAAGGCCAUUAUUUAGGCCCAGUUUAUACCACAAAGACCGAAAACCUUAGGGAGUGUUCGGCGUCGCAAGUUUGGCCCUAUAUGCAUCAGCUCCGAAUCAUUGUCUUUGGUCAAAUGUUGGGUUUGCCCGGGUCCUGUGUUUUGUUGCCUUACGUUCCGCUUUACCGGCUAAGGUAGCACUAGGAGAACUACUGUGAUUGUGCCCUGGUUCAUCCGGACGAGCACCUCAGUAGAGAAAGCCGAAAACUGACUGUCAUGAUAUAGCGUGAGACUGGUCAACCACUCGAUGACCUGUGGGAAUGUUAGAAUUCCUCCGCCUUAACGAAGGGCCGUUUUUCGGCCAGGCAUGUACGCACCCCAGAAUCGGGAGAGUGCGGAGCCACCAGGGGCUAUCUAGUAGCCCCACUGUCAAACUCCUAUAGCUAAGUGAAAGUGCUAAAGCAUUAUAGUCCGGUUGCCUCGCUCGCUCCGCUAUCACCUCCUUAAUAGGACCAAGACAUUGGGUUAAGUGUGAACGCGUGUUUUUGCGAGCACCUCCGCAUUAUAUGUGUGGGGGUUGAAGCUGACGACUAUAAUCUUUUAGGUUAUACACAUGUAUACAUAAACGGCCACCCAGGAGGCAUCAUAUUACUUUCAGGCAAAAGUAUAAAAAUAGCCUUAUAAAAAUUUAUAAAAGCAUUUCGCUUACAAUGAGAUUACAUAUCACUCAAACAUAAUAUUUUUUGAGCACUGGGUCUCUAUCAAACGGGCACCCUCAAGAACUUCUUCAAAGUAGUGCUUAGCAGCCUUUCGACCUAUAGCCGAAUCCCGCGCUGCAACAUUGGUAGCAUCCAUCUCCGCCCAGUAUGCCUUAACACGGGCAAAGGCCAUCCGUGCGCCCUCUAUGCACGCUGACCUCUUCAUCGCAUUAAUGCGCGGCACCACAUCAAGGAACUACUGCACCAAGAUGAAAUAGCUGUUCAGUUUUGACCUUUCUGGCCAUAGCUGAUCCACAACAGACCUCAUGGAGAGUCCGGACAACCUAUUUAGUUCGGCUCAUUCGGCUAAUUGGUCAGUCAAUGAAAGUGGACGCUCGGGAGAAUGAAAUUGUCUCCAAAACAGCUGGUCUACUUCAUGGUCCGUCUGACCCUGGAAGUACUUGGCCGCAUCGGCAGCGCUCGCCGCCAAAUCCAUAUACACAUCCUCAGAACUCCAUAGCUGAUCCAGAGGGGCAUACCGUGGAUCUCCGAACUUCCUCCGCAACAUAAAGGAUUUCCCAGCUACAAUAUCCCCGGCUUCCCGCAGCUCCUCCUUCUUUGCCCUCAUAGCAGAGCGGAGGUCUUUUUUUUCGUCGCAGCAGCCUUUCCAAGGUCCGAUGCCUUCGCUUGGUUUUCCUUUUCAAGAACCCGGCAACGGUCAGCGGUGGCUUUUAAUUCUAUGGCCAUCUUGGCCAUCUUGUCUCGGCUCUCGCCAUGCGCGGCCUUCUUGGCUUGCAACUCUUCGGCCGCCUUCAAAGCAGCCGCAUUACCCAACCUAGCUUGUUCCUUGGCUCGGGCAAGUUCUGCCUGCAAGGCUUCAACAGUGGCAGCUCCAUCUGUAGUCACAACAUAUUAAAGAUGCUGGUAUCAUGCUGCUCUUCCUAUUGUGGCGUUUACCAGAUAAUGACACUUACCCUAUGCGUCGUCAAGCCUUUUGUUAACAAGCUCGAUGCCGGCAUCUGCCGCAUCCAAUUGCCGUUCUAAAUGGGCAAACUCGCUAGUCCGGCUAGCCACCGGAGCUUCCAUCGCCUGCACAUAGAGGCAGUAUGGUUAUUACCUGGGAAUAUGAUCCUCUGUUCGUCGUCGUUUCCGACGACAACCAGAGUCUCAGGGGCUACUAUCUACACAUGGCACACCUAGCAUGUGCAGGACUAUCAUACAUUCUUUCACGUACCUCAAAGCCUGUCAGUAGACUCAUAAAAGCUUCAUGCAAUCCGCUUUCGGCGGACGAUAUUCUCUCCAUCACCGUAUUCAUCAGCACACGGUGUUCAUCUGAGAUGGCUGAUGGGGUUAUGUACCUAGGGUAGGGUCAUGGACCUGAUCUAAGUACCUUAUCCAAGGACACCCUUAGAAGAGGUCGCCUUCCAGUCGACCAACGAGGGACACACUCGACUGACUUGAAGGACUCGACCACGAAGACCCACUCGACCACCAGAAGGUUAAGAGGCACUCUGCACUGCAACGGCCUGUAAUCAAGGGUUCGGCACCUUGUAAUUCAUAUACUCAUAAUCCACUCGACCGCCUCCGGGCUCCGAGACGUAGGGCUGUUACUUCCUCCGAGAAGGGCCUGAACUCGUACAUCCUUUGUGCUUACAACCUCUCCAUAGCUAGGACCUUGCCUCUCCAUACCUACCCCCACUCUACUGUCAGGCUUAGAACCACGACAGUUGGCGCCCACCGUGGGGCCGGUGUUUUAGCGAUUUUGUGGAGAAGUUGCGAUUCUUCCGAGUACUUUCAUCAUGGUGUCUGCUGGAGCUUUGGUCGGGGGUCAAGAGAUCCGUCUCGGCACUCUCACCUUCUUCGCCGAUGACUCCGCGUGGCUCCAUGAUGCUCCGCUCGACGUUGAUGCGCUCCCCGUCCGCGGUGCGACGCAUUUUCGUGCAUAUGUCCGCGGCGUUCUGCUGCGGCAACCGUCGACCCAGUAUCGGUCGGCCCCUCCAUCGUCCACCCUCCCAGUAUCCCGCCAGCGCAAGCGCUCGGGCCGGUCGAGGCUUCAGCGAUGGGUGAGGCACGCGGUGGCUCGCCAAUCGGCCACCACCCAAGUUGCGGCAAUUGAGCCCGACGAACCUCUCUACGGCUUGUUCGAUCUGUCGACUUUCUCCGUAGAGACUGCAUCCGAGUGCGGUAGCAGUGAUCCAGCGGCGGAAAUCUUGAUGGUCGACGGGCCCCACAGUCCCCCUGGCUUCGCCCGUCGUGGUGGAGCAGGUGACGGCGGCGACCCUACACGAGGCUACGAAGAGUACCAGCCCGAGCCACUCGACUCUCUGCAAAGAGAGGAACUUCGCCGCAGGAACGAGGAUCCCCUGCGUAUUCCUAUCGCAGGAGAAACCCCCGAGGCUUGUGCCUUGGAGGAGGCGCGUCUGGCCAAUUUGGCCGAGCGCACUCGACUGGAGAACCUUCAGCGAGCUCUCGACGAGCGCGCGCGGCAACGAGUUCCCGACAACAGUCGACGUCAACUCUUCCCGCCAACUCAGGUAUAUCGAACCCCAAUUCAGAAUUUAGCAGCUGCGACCCGUAUAGCAGAGUCCAUCCAGCCUUCGCAGUCGGAAGCUGGCAGAGGUUUGCUGCAGAUCAGGGAUCUGCUCCGGGCAGCAGGAGAUCAGAAUUCAGCCGUGUCUCAGUCGCGCAACAGAAUUCACAGUUGAUCCGUCACUGUGAAUACGGUUCAGUCGGCUCAUAGCCCCAGAUCGCCUCCGCGGCGUGAAGGGCGCGAGAAUCGGUGAGAUCAAUAUGGCGACAGACUCGACCGAGAUGAUAGGCGUCGAGUGCCCUAUUCCCCUCCGAGGGGUGGGUCUUAUGCUCCUCGGCAGCCAGAUGAUAGGCGUCAGUACAGUACAGGGCGUAGGGUUCCAGUCGACCUCAAAGAACCAGGCUUCAACGCGCGAUCCAUUAUCGUGCAAGGGUUGGUUGACUGGAACAGAGCCCAUCGAGGUGGACUCGACAGAGAUGUACCCACAAGCAGUCGAGUGCAUGUUUCUGGUCCUGAAUGUUUCAGCAGAGCUAUCAGAGCCGCAGUUAUCCCUCCCAAUUUCAGGUUGGCAACAGGAGUCAGCAAGUUCACUGGUGAGUCUAAGCCUGAAACUUGGCUUGAAGACUACCGAGUGGCAGUUCAGAUUGGUGGUGGGAACGACGAGGUGGCCAUGAAGCAUUUGCCCCUCAUGUUGGAAGGUUCUGCCAGGGCAUGGUUGACUCAGUUACCUCCUAGCAGCAUUUACACUUGGGAAGAUCUGUCCCGAGUGUUCGUCAGGACGUUUGAAGGAACUUGCAAACGACCAGCUGGAUUGACAGAGUUGCAAGUCUGCGUGCAGAAAACUAAUGAGACUCUCAGAUAGUAUAUUCAGAGGUGGAUCACUUUGCACCACACUGUGGAGAAUGUGUCCGAUCAUCAGGCAGUCUGCGCCUUCAAAGACGGCGUCAAGAACAGAGAACUGAGUUUGAAGUUUGGUCGAACCGGUGACAUGACCUUGAGUCGGAUGAUGGAGAUUGCUACCAAGUACGCCAACGGCGUAGAAGAAGACCGACUCCGAAGCGGCAAGCACAAGCCGAGUCAGUCGGAAAAAGGAAACACCAGUCGGAAACAGAAGCGGAAGGCUGAACCGGCAGCUCCUGGAGAGGCUCUGGCCGUGACUCAAGGAAAGUUUAAGGGGAAACCAAAAGGAUCCUGGAACCCCAAGAAGGUAAAGGAUAAAGAAGGGAACGACAUGAUGGAUAUGCCAUGUCACAUUCACACGAAGAAAUACGAAGAGGGGAAUAUCAUUUACCCGAAGCACACCACUCGCCAAUGUCGACUCCUGAUCCAGCAGUUUCAAGGAAAACAGUCUAAGGACAAGGAGAAGGAGUCGGACAAGGCCGAAGACAAGGAGGACAGUGAGGAAGGAUAUCCGCAUAUCAACUCCACUGUGAUGAUCUUUGCAGAUGUGGAAAGCAGGAGUCGACUGAAAGUCAUUAACCGAGAGGUGAACAUGGUUGCCCCAGCGAAAGCAAAUUAUCUGAAAUGGUCUCAAACACCCAUCACAUUCGACCAAUCUGAUCACCCGACUCAUAUUGUCACCCCUGGGAGGCAAGCUUUGGUGGUCGAUCCAGUUGUCGAAGGCACUCGACUGACAAAGGUGCUGAUGGAUGGUGGAAGCGGGCUGAAUUUGUUAUAUGCAGACACACUGAAAGGAAUGGGCAUUCUGAUGUCCCGACUGAGCACUAGUAACAUGAGCUUUCAUGGGGUUAUUCCAGGAAAGAAAGCCGAGUCACUCGGCCAAAUAGCCCUGGACGUGGUGUUUGGUGAUUCGAAGCAUUUUCGCAAAGAAAAGUUGACGUUUGAGGUCGUGGAUUUUCACAGUGCAUAUCAUGCCAUUUUGGGGAGACCAGCUUACGUACGGUUCAUGGCUCGACCAUGUUACGUGUACCUCAAAUUGAAGAUGCCCGGCCCCAAAGGAGUGAUCACUGUCACCGGUGAUAGGAAAAAGGCAGAAGAGUGCUUUCAGAAGGGCUCCAAGAUUGCUGAUUCCCAGGUGACAGCGGUCGAGUUCGAGGAAUACAAGCAAAACGCAGAUCCGAGUGACUUGCUGCGAUCAAAGAAACCCGCCACAAAGUCUGCAUUCCAGUCGUCCGGUGAGACGAAGCCUGUCCACAUUCACUCGACCGACCCCGAUGCAGCUCCGAUCCGCAUCUCUACAACACUCGACCCAAAAUAGGAAGAAGCGCUCAUCCAGUUCCUCCGUGAGAACUGGGACAUUUUUGCAUGGAAGCCCGUUGACAUGCCAGGUGUUCCCAGGGGACUGGCUGAGCAUCACCUAAGAGUCGACUCAUCUGCAAAACCAGUCAAAGAGCAUCUUCGGCGGUCCGCCGUCCAGAAGAGAAAAGCCAUUGGCGAAGAAGUGGCUCGACUGUUGGCGGCAGGAUUUAUCCGAGAGAUAUACCACUCCGAGUGGCUCGCUAAUGUCGUCAUGGUCCCCAAGAAAGACAAGUCGCUCCGAAUGUGCAUUGAUUUCAAGCACAUCAACCGGGCCUGCCCGAAAGAUCAUUUUCCUCUCCCUCGCAUAGAUCAAAUUGUUGACUCGACGGCGGGAUGCGAGAGGCUAUCCUUUUUAGAUGCCUACUCCGGGUACCACCAGAUCCGUCUGUACGGACCCGAUGAGGUAAAAAUAGCUUUCAUCACUCCAUUCGGGUGCUUCUGCUAUAUCACCAUGCCAUUUGGCCUCAAGAAUGCCGGAGCCACAUUUAUGCGAAUGAUUCAGAAGUGUCUACUCACUCAAAUCAGUCGGAAUGUGGAAGCGUAUAUGGAUGAUAUUGUUGUCAAAUCACGAAAAGGUUCCGACCUGCUCGUUGAUCUCGCCGAAACAUUUGCCAACCUCAGAAGAUAUGAUAUCAAGCUCAAUCCAUCAAAGUGCACAUUUGGAGUUCCUGGUGGCAAGUUACUCGGUUUUCUCGUUUCCGAACGGGGAAUCGACACUAACCCAGAAAAGAUUGGCACUAUUCUCCGAAUGAAACGCCCUGUGCGAGUGCAUGAUGUCCAGAAGCUUACUGGAUGCUUGGCCGCAUUAAGUCGAUUCAUCUCACGACUCGGUGAAAAGGCAUUGCCUCUUUACCGACUGAUGAAGAAGACAGACAAGUUCGAGUGGACUCCAGAAGCUGAUGCAGCGUUUGCCGAGCUCAAAACUCUGCUCUCCACCCAGCCGGUGCUUGCUGCUCCAAUCAGCAAAGAGCCUCUGUUGCUCUAUAUCGCAGCCACAGGACAAGUCGUCAGUACUGUGCUAACGGUCGAGUGGGAAGAAGAAGGAAAAGCUCUCAAAGUUCAGCGCCCAGUGUAUUAUUUGUCUGAAGUCUUGACUCCAUCCAAGCAGAGAUAUCCUCAUUAUCAGAAGCUUGUGUAUGGAAUAUACAUGACCACAAAGAAGGUUGCUCAUUAUUUCUCUGAUCAUUCCAUCACAGUCGUCAGCGACGCUCCACUAUCAGAGAUUUUGCACAACAGAGAUGCAACUGGUCGAGUGGCCAAAUGGGCGAUUGAACUUCUUCCCCUUGAUAUCAAGUUUGAGGCAAAGAAAGCCAUUAAGUCCCAGGCAAUAGCAGAUUUCCUUGCCGAGUGGAUUGAACAGCAGCAGCCGACUGAAGUUCACUCGGAGCAUUGGACCAUGUUUCUUGAUGGCUCUAAGAUGUUGAAUGGUUCCGGUGCUGGGGUUGUCCUGGUUUCCCCCAGAGGAGAUAAGCUCAGAUAUGUGCUCCAGAUUCACUUUGAUUCCUCCAACAAUGAGGCAGAAUAUGAGGCCCUCUUAUAUGGGUUGCGCAUGGCCAUUUCACUCGGCGUCCGUCGCCUGAUGGUCUAUGGCGACUCGGAUUUAGUGGUCAAUCAGGUGAUGAAAGAGUGGGACGUGAGAAGCCCAGCCAUGACUGGAUACUGCAGUGCAGUGAGGAAGCUGGAAAAGAAGUUCGAGGGGUUGGAGCUCCAUCAUAUACCCCGACCGAAAAAUCAAGCAGCUGAUGAUCUAGCAAAGAUAGGUUCCAAGAGAGAAGCCAUUCCGAGUGGUGUGUUCUUGGAGCAUAUACACACUCCGUCAGUCAAAGAAGAUCCUUUCACCAAAGAAACUCCACAGCCCAAGAGUGCCACAGAUCCGACUGAAGUUGAAGUCCCAGUGGUGGUCGACUUGAUCAUGGAGGUUUUGGUGGUCAUUCCCGACUGGACAGUUCCGUAUGUCGCAUAUAUCCUGAGAAAAGAGCUUCCGGAGGAUGAGGAAGAGGCUCGACAAAUCGUCCGUCGAUCUAAGGCCUUUACCGUAAUCAAAGGACAAUUAUACAGAGAAAGCGCGACUGGAGUCGGCCAGAAGUGCAUAACACCGGAAGAAGGUCGACUCAUCCUCAAUGAUAUUCACUCGGGGACCUGUGGUCAUCAUGCGUCCUCUCGGACCAUCGUGGCCAAAGCAUACCGAGCCGGAUUUUACUGGCCAAAGGCGAAUGAAAUGGCAAAAGAGAUAGUGGAUAAGUGCGAGGGAUGUCAGUUCUACUCGAAUAUGUCGCACAAGCCUGCGUCAGCUCUUAAGACCAUCCCACUCGUCUGGCCUUUCGCGGUAUGGGGACUGGACAUGGUCGGUCCUUUGAGAACAGGACGAAGUGGUUUCACGCAUGUGCUGGUGGCAGUCGACAAGUUCACCAAGUGGAUCGAGGCUAAACCAAUCAAGAGCCUUGACACCGGUACUGCUGUUAGCUUCAUCAAGGAACUAAUAUUCAGAUAUGGAGUUCCGCACAGCAUCAUUACGGAUAAUGGGUCAAACUUUGACUCAGAGGAAUUCAGAGAUUUCUGCAACUCCCAAGGCACGCGGGUCGAUUACGCUUCAGUCGCCCAUCCGCAGUCGAAUGGACAAGCAGAGCGAGCUAAUGGACUGAUUCUUAAGGGAUUGAAACCUCGACUGAUGCGUGAUCUCAAACACGCGGCUGGAGCCUGGGUAGACGAACUUCCCUCAGUGCUUUGGGGGCUGCGGACCACACCUAAUCGGUCGACCGGAAGAACUCCAUUCUUCUUGGUCUACGGAGCUGAAGCAGUCUUGCCGAGUGAUCUUCUCCACAAUGCUCCUCGAGUUGAAAUUUACAACGAAGCAGAGGCUGAACAGGCGCGGCAGGACGCAGUCGACCUUUUAGAAGAAGAAAGGGAGAUGGCUUUGAUCCGCUCGACCAUCUACCAACAAGAUUUGCGUCGUUUCCACGCCAGAAAUGUGAGAGGUCGAGCCUUCCAGGAAGGGGAUUUAGUUCUCCGAGUGGAUCAGCACAAACCACACAAGCUUGCUCCUUCUUGGGAAGGCCCCUUCAUCGUCACCAAGGUUCUCCACAACGGGGCGUACCGUCUUUACAAUGUCGAGCAUAAUAUCGACGAGCCCCGAGCUUGGAACGCAGAACUACUCCGCCCGUUUUACACUUAAGUUUUAUCACUCAGAUGAGUUGCAAUAAAGUACUUCUGUAGUUCAUGGACCUCAAAAUAAUAGUGUCAUAGUUCCUCCAUAAUAUCUGUCACUUUUUAUUUUUGUCCAAUAAAAUUCCCCUCAGUGGGUGACUUAGCUGCGAAUCCGUUUCGCCUAAGUUUGUAAAAAUCCUACCGAGUGGUGAGCCAGACUCCCACUCGGAGGCUUAGCUGCGAAUCCGUUUCGCCUAAGUUAUCAAAAUCCUACCGAGUGGUAAGCCAGCCUUCCACUCGGAGGCUUAGCUGCAGCCCUGUGCUCGCCUAAGUUAUCAAAAUCCUACCGAGUGAAGAGCAACCCUCUCACUCGGGGGCUUAGCUGCAGUCCAAGCACUCGCCUAAGUUAUCAAAAUCCUACCGAGUGAAGAGCAACNNNNNNNNNNNNNNNNNNNNNNNNNNNNNNNNNNNNNNNNNNNNNNNNNNNNNNNNNNNNNNNNNNNNNNNNNNNNNNNNNNNNNNNNNNNNNNNNNNNNNNNNNNNNNNNNNNNNNNNNNNNNNNNNNNNNNNNNNNNNNNNNNNNNNNNNNNNNNNNNNNNNNNNNNNNNNNNNNNNNNNNNNNNNNNNNNNNNNNNNNNNNNNNNNNNNNNNNNNNNNNNNNNNNNNNNNNNNNNNNNNNNNNNNNNNNNNNNNNNNNNNNNNNNNNNNNNNNNNNNNNNNNNNNNNNNNNNNNNNNNNNNNNNNNNNNNNNNNNNNNNNNNNNNNNNNNNNNNNNNNNNNNNNNNNNNNNNNNNNNNNNNNNNNNNNNNNNNNNNNNNNNNNNNNNNNNNNNNNNNNNNNNNNNNNNNNNNNNNNNNNNNNNNNNNNNNNNNNNNNNNNNNNNNNNNNNNNNNNNNNNNNNNNNNNNNNNNNNNNNNNNNNNNNNNNNNNNNNNNNNNNNNNNNNNNNNNNNNNNNNNNNNNNNNNNNNNNNNNNNNNNNNNNNNNNNNNNNNNNNNNNNNNNNNNNNNNNNNNNNNNNNNNNNNNNNNNNNNNNNNNNNNNNNNNNNNNNNNNNNNNNNNNNNNNNNNNNNNNNNNNNNNNNNNNNNNNNNNNNNNNNNNCCUAAGUUAUCAAAAUCCUACCGAGUGUAGAGCAACCCUCUCACUCGGGGGCUUAGCUGCUGUCCAAGCACUCGCCUAAGUUAUCAAAAUCCUACCGAGUGUAGAGCAACCCUCUCACUCGGAGGCUUAGCUGCAGUCCAAGCACUCGCCUAAGUUAUCAAAAUCCUACUGAGUGUAGAGCAACCCUCUCACUCGGGGGCUUAGCUGCAGCCCAGUGCUCGCCUAAGUGGACUGAAGAAUAUGUCGAUUGCAGUAAAGGCGCCUUGCUUUGAACCUGCAAAAGACAUUUCGAGCCAAAGGCAAUCAUAUUCAAGCACCAAAUUCAAGUUUGAAUCGAUAUCUAAAGGAACCGAGAGUGCUCAGGCGUUAAGCCUGUUAAGGUUUAUCGGUUACAAUUCCACUCGGCAUACCGAGGCAAAUUUAAAGCGUCGAGCCAGAAGAAGUUUUUUACCCCUCCUGUGGAGGGCUGGAAGGAGCAACGAAUUCAUCAAGGUCAAUUCCGUCGGCGAUCCGAGUGGCAGCUGCAAGGAAAGUUUCCAUAAAAGACCUGAAGUCGUGUUUCUUGGUAUUGGACACCCGAAGGGCCGCCAGCUUCUCUUCUCGCGCAUCUUUACAGUGGACUCGGGCCAGACACAGAGCAACAUCUGCACCACACCGAGCCGAGGACUUCUUCCAUUCUUGCACUCGACCAGGGAUCGUGUUCAACCGGGCCAUCAGCGACUCAAGGUCAUUCUGAAGUGUCUCCUCAGGCCAAAGCGUCGAGUCGAUGCGAGAUGUGGCGGCCUUCAGCCUUGCGAGAUAGUCCACGACAGCUGCGACACGAGACUCCAGUCGGAAAACAUCCAUGGCAACUUCGUCGUUCACCGGAGAAUUGACAGGGUCGAGGUUUGGCUCCAGCCGGCUAGUUUCUUCUUCAAAGUUUUGACAGAAUUCUGCAAGGAUGAUCACUAAGUCAAGGGGAUGGUCGAAUGGAAAAACCACAAUUGGAAAUGUUUGCCAAGCAUAGAGGUUUACCUUCAAGCAUAAGAAACAGCUUCUUGGCUAGACUACUCAGGAAGGCCUCCAGAUCAGUCUUCUUCCCAGUCAAUUUGCUGACUUGGUCAGUCAGGGCAGCUUUGUCAGUUUUUAGUCGACUGAUCUCCUUGUUGGCGAUCCCAAGAGCAGCUUUCAGAUUGGUAUUGUCUUGUUCAAGCUUGGUGACUGAAGCCAACUUCUCGUCAGCAAGCUUGAUCUUCUCAGCUAGUUCAAGGUCUUUCUUCUGUUGGGCCUCCCUUACCUUACCUGCAAGUUACAGCAAGAUCAGAUUUUGAAACAAGCAAGGGGAAAGCAGUCGUCAGGGUCUCACCAAACAUACCUUCGGUCUCCUCCUUUGCCUUUGUCAGCUUCUCCUGAACCAGCUUCAGGCUCAGCUCGAGUUGAGUAUGCUUGUGUUCCAGCUCAGAGUAGCGAUUCACAAGAUCACAAGAGUUCUGCGAAGAACCAAUCGACUAAAUGUCAAAUAUAAUUCACUUCCGAGUGGAAAAGGAAAAAACACACGUUUCUAAGACUACAGCCGAAUACAAGCAUUCGACCGUAGUCUCGGGGACUACACCCAGUGGGUGCACUCAGCGUGCCCCCACUAAUCCUGUUGAAGACAAAGUCGACCAGUCGACCUCAAAAAAAAAG
RNAcentral lists this long non-coding RNA (41926 nucleotides) under Triticum aestivum (bread wheat). RNAcentral's name for it is "long non-coding RNA (TAES_LNC023817)". Lineage: Eukaryota; Viridiplantae; Streptophyta; Magnoliopsida; Poales; Poaceae. The record is from RNAcentral.